GGUUAACGCUGGCGGCGCGCCUAACACAUGCAAGUCGAACGAACCCUUGGGGGUUAGUGGCAGAUGGGUGAGUAAAGGGUGGAUUAAGUGCCACUUUGCUGGGGAUACGGUUCGGAAAGGAACGGUAAUACCGAACGUACAUGGUUGGCGGCAUCAGCGAGCAAGUAAACUGUUAGGGUGAAGAGAGCUGUCCGCGUUCUAUCAGCUAGUUGGGGAGGUAACGGCGCACAAAGGCUACGACGGCUAACUUGUCUGACAGGAUGAUCAGUCACACUCGAACGGAGACACCAUCCAGACUCCUACGGCAGGCGGCAGUAACGUAUCUGACACAAUCGGCGAGAGCGUGAUGGAUCGUCGCCGCGUGAGGGAUGAUGGCCUGCGGGGUGUAAACGUCUGUCAGUAGGGAAGAAGAUUGACGGUACCUACUGAGAAAGCUUCGGCUAACUACGUG
RNAcentral lists this ribosomal RNA (451 nucleotides) under uncultured bacterium. Its description in RNAcentral is "partial 16S ribosomal RNA". It matches the Rfam family "Bacterial small subunit ribosomal RNA", at positions 28 to 507 of the family's 1533-position model. The record is from RNAcentral.